AAAAAAAAAAAAAGAAAAAAAAACAAGAAACGCUAAAGUUACGCUGUUUUCAUUAUCGCCGACUAGUUGUAUAUGUUAAUUAUAGAUUAUAUAUGUAUAUGUAUAUCUCGUCCGGUUCAGGCAUCCUGCCGGGAAACCUAAGACUUCAUACUUUAAAGAUAAGCUUCAAUGAUUUUUCUACAAGAUCAGAGAUUAAUUAAACGACUUAUAUACUUUCGUACAAUUAUUGCGUACAGAUUUAAUCACCAGAAGAUCCUUCGACUGUCCUUUCCGUGUCCUCAAGUGUCAAACUGCUUAACCUUCCAAUGAUUCAUACAAUGGUACAUCGUAAAAGACUUUCCGUAUACGACAAGCAGCCUUUGUUGUCGGCUGCAGCGGUGCUUUUUCGACUUACAUCAGUCAGCGUUUAAGUGAAACAAGUCAAGCUACCUAGAAUGAGGGGCGUACACUUCGAUCGAAAGUUUUUUUUCUCUUGGGUCAAAUAUAACACGGUGAUAGCAGUUAAAGGUUACACGUAAAAUACAAAUCGCUGGACGAAAGAUCCGAAGCGUAGAAUAAGGUAGGUAUUAUAUCAAUACGAAAAGUUUCCAUCACGCAUCGUACGAAGAGCUCGAUCAUAUUGAAGUGCCUGGAUACGAUCUCAUCCCAAUUGAUCAAAUCCGCGAAGGCACCUUGCGCACAAUUUUCAAGAUUUUUGCGACUUUUUCGCAUGGUUGAUAUAGACCUACGACAAUUUUAUACAAAUUUACGUAGCAGUAUGAACCUAGUUACAUUUAUAUUUCCGUGCAUUCGCAUUCGAAACUGUCCGGAUGCAUGUUGAAUAUUUAAAUACUAAAUUUCGACGAGAAUUAAUAUACAAUUAAAUUGCAUCAUUCGCAAACAUGCAAUUAUAUUCCAUUAUAUGCGAGCAUGGAAUUACAUGUUACAUGUAUUAUAUCGAACACGCUUAGCGUGAACAGAACAGUUAGCUUCUGGGCACGUAACGAUCGAGGAUAAAGAAUUAAGUAUGACGUUAAGAAGCGGAGGAAACAUUACCAUUUGAUUAUAAUUUCCUCGACUUUUUACAUUACAAACGAAAACGCCGAUUGUUACGUCAACCACGUUCGGUGGUAACAAAUGGUUACAGAUAGAAAGCACGAUAGACGAAGGAAAAAUCAAAAAAUUCCAUUACAAGCAUUAUCGUAUUUCUCACACUUGUAAAAAAGGUUCACCUUUAACGUCAAACAUAAUUCGCGAGGCCAUCGAUUAAGAUAAGAUUUGUUUAUCGCUCGUUUAGUAUUCAUCCAAGAAUUGAAUCGUCCAAAAAUACAUUUCCAUAGAAAUAUGUACGGGCUGUUGGAUAUAUGUAUUCCGAUGCUUAAUAAUCGCUCAGAGACAAAAGCUUACGAUAACUUCAAAGCACUAUUUCUCAGAUAUAACGGAAACAACGUUCAACGAAAUUAUGUAUUUGUUUUCUUUGAAAACGUACACGUGGAACAAGUUAAAAUAUUUAUCUGUCGAAUUAGGUUGUUUUCAAUACCAGGUUGCUAUCUCGCGCGUGUUGUUCAUAUCCUUACUAAGAAGUUAAACUCAGCCAUUGGAAUAAGUAUGUUGUAUCGUAAGGGAAACUUUUUCCAAGCAAAAUAUGGUCGUAACACGUUUGAAUUUAAAUUGACAAAUAUAUAAAAAUGUAUCGUGAAUUAUUGAAUUUAUAUUAUUUAUAAUUGGAAUGAUUGAAAACACCUGUAUAAUGAACAUUAUAAUAUUACAGUAAUUGUUUAAGUAUUCUUUAAGAUCGCCAAAUAAUUUAUAACGUGUUUUCACAUUCGGAAAGUGUAUAUCUACACGUCUAACUUUCUAGCCAUGUUCUUGGCAAACCAGUGCAGGACAAAGUUGUACAGGUCAACUUAAAAACAUGAUUCUCGUCAAUGGUGUCUCACGAAACGUCGACGUUUCUUGCAUCAGCCAAGGACUCGGUCUCUUUUAAUGUUGUAAAUGUCACAAACAGGUGUGGGACCGGUAGAUGACGCAAAAUAUCCUCUUGAUUACCCUCAUUUGUUUUUAUUAAAAUUUGUGUCUGCCAUUGAAAAUAUAGUACGUGUUAGAAUCUUUCUUUACAUAAAUACAUAUAUCCCCAAUCACAGAAAUGUGUGGUAUGCACGAUAAUAACUGUUUAAAUUUGCAAAUAUUCUGUUUAUAAUGAUCUUUAUAUUAGCAUACUUAACUCGUUAUUUCAAAAUUUGUUAAUAUUUGAUUGUACCAACGAUAGUGAAAAUAACCACCCAGUAUAUGUAUACUACACCUUCUAUCUGUAAAUUUCUGUUUUGAAAAGACCAGUGAACAAUUGUUUAAAAUUUCAUCAAAAUUGACGUUUCGCGACGUUCCUUUGUUAUUGAAACUAUCCAAAAUUCAAAUUCGUUUAUAAAUAAUAUUUUAUUAAUAGUAUCAUAGUGCUAUACCUCGCGAAUCUAUGAUCAACUUUUCUGUUGAAUUUCUUUUAAUUGACAUCUGUUUCGAACUUCACGGAAGUUACGCUUAUCAUACCCGUUAAUUGUAUCAAUUUUUUUUUCCUUAUAAAUAAGCAUGUACCUGAAAGUGCAAUAGCUUCUAGGCAUUGCAUCAAGUACGAGAAUUCCACUUCUGUCUUUCACGAUUCAAAGUGAAUAAAAAAUGUUAAUUGCCGAUAAAUUUAUUCGUAUACCUGUAUCAGUCAUUCAUUACUGGAUACCUUGAUAGAGAAUAAUAGAUGUACGCUCACGCAUCUGUAUUGCCGUUUCUUCUGUAAAGUAAAACGUUUAGAACAUAUUGCUUAUAGAACACUGGGAUUAACAGCUCUGCUAACAAAAUUUAUUUUAUUCUUUCGUUAACAAUAGAAUAUCAUGUUUCGAAACAAUAUACACGAUUACAUUGUUUUUGUAUAUCUACAUUGUUCUGUAAAAAUAAAUUUUAAUACUCCAUGUAUACUAUGAAAAUAUUAAAGUUGUCUUGAUGUAUAAACUGUAUAAAAAUGCUUUAAUAAAUACACAUGUAUAUAUAUAACUUUCUUGCAUUGAAAUUCGUUGCAGGAAGUCCGAAUAGUCGUUGGAACAACCGCAAUACAUAUAAGUAUAUAGAAAAAUAUAGUACUUUUAAACAUUACAAUCACCACUCACGCUGU
Long non-coding RNA from Hylaeus anthracinus, 3136 nucleotides. RefSeq lists it as uncharacterized. NCBI's taxonomy places the organism in Eukaryota, Metazoa, Arthropoda, Insecta, Hymenoptera, Colletidae. The record is from RefSeq and is a predicted model, not a curated record. The transcript is spliced from 2 exons.